This 439-nucleotide ribosomal RNA is filed under the name Pseudomonas sp. R-26429. RNAcentral's name for it is "bacterial SSU rRNA". It matches the Rfam family "Bacterial small subunit ribosomal RNA", at positions 30 to 469 of the family's 1533-position model. Lineage: Bacteria; Pseudomonadati; Pseudomonadota; Gammaproteobacteria; Pseudomonadales; Pseudomonadaceae. The record is from RNAcentral.
AUUGAACGCUGGCGGCAGGCCUAACACAUGCAAGUCGAGCGGUAGAGAGAAGCUUGCUUCUCUUGAGAGCGGCGGACGGGUGAGUAAUGCCUAGGAAUCUGCCUGGUAGUGGGGGAUAACGUUCGGAAACGGACGCUAAUACCGCAUACGUCCUACGGGAGAAAGCAGGGGACCUUCGGGCCUUGCGCUAUCAGAUGAGCCUAGGUCGGAUUAGCUAGUUGGUGAGGUAAUGGCUCACCAAGGCGACGAUCCGUAACUGGUCUGAGAGGAUGAUCAGUCACACUGGAACUGAGACACGGUCCAGACUCCUANNGGAGGCAGCAGUGGGGAAUAUUGGACAAUGGGCGAAAGCCUGAUCCAGCCAUGCCGCGUGUGUGAAGAAGGUCUUCGGAUUGUAAAGCACUUUAAGUUGGGAGGAAGGGCAUUAACCUAAUACGUU